UAGUGGAAGCAGUCUGAUGAAAUUGCAUUAGGUACUUUCUUCAAGGUAGAGUUAUUUUUUGAAAUGUCACUAAAUAAUUUGUGGGUGGCAUUGUUGUUGUGUAGUAUUCCGUUUCUAACUAGUGCUAGGCCUGCUCCUGAUCCAGAUCCUAAUCCAUUUUUGGCUGCUUCCUUUGGCGUUGGAUGGCCUUAUUAUGGAUCGACAGUACGAUAUACUUAUUAUCCUUGGUAUUAUCCAUUUGGAUAUUAUGUAGGAUGAAUAAACUGAAUUAUUGAU
Molecule: long non-coding RNA, 276 nt
Organism: Leptinotarsa decemlineata (Colorado potato beetle)
Lineage: Eukaryota; Metazoa; Arthropoda; Insecta; Coleoptera; Chrysomelidae
Source: RefSeq, a predicted model, not a curated record